CACCUUCCUGCCACUGGGGUUGGGUUAGGCCCCUUUAUCAUGUGCCCCUGGCUUACUGGGCCUGCUUUCCAUAGCACACAACUUAUAAUUGCUUGUUUGCCAUCUGCCUUCCUCAUGAGACAGUAAGCUCUAUGAGGACGGGGCCCAGGUUACCAGUGUGUGGAACGGUGCCUGAUACACUGUUGAUUUAUCUGUUAUUUGACCGUGGUCCUGAAGUGAUGCCCAGGAGGAUUGAGGAAGUUGAGGUCAAGAUUGUGGCCCAAUGUGGAAAGCUCCAAGCCAGCUCUUCCUUUUUCAAAACCAGAAAAGCUGCAUGUUUAGAUUGCUUUAGGAGACUCAGCUCCAUUACAGUUCAGGAUAUGGGCUGUUUGAAAACUAUUUCAUUAUCUUUAUCAUCUUCAUUCGUUUCAGUCACUUCAGAUUUUCGUCUCUCCAAAAAUAUUGAUGUACAAACUGGUGUGGGGCCCUAGAUUCAACAAGGAAAGAUUAUAAUACAUAAAUGUAGAACAAGAUUAUCACUGUACCCGAAACAUCACCUCUCUUCUAUUUUUACAAGUUGUACCACAUUAUUUUAGUCCUGUUUCAAUCUUUUCGUGAUACUAUUGUAAAGAAUAAAGAACUGAGAUGCUUAUCAAACUUAGUACAGAAAUUCACAAUUGGAACAUAGCACGUUCCAUUAUAAGGUAUUAUGCAGAAAACUGCUAAAUCGACAAUAAAGAUCUACCAAAUGUGACAAUAUUCAAUUUGAAAUCUUAAUAUGGCAGAAACUGCCUUUCUUUCUUCAAAUUCUUUGUAUAAACCUGGUGUCCGGAAUAUGGGAGACAAUCUUACCUGGCUGUCCACAGUCUCCUCAGGAGUGUCAAGAGUGCCGACCACCUUUUUCUUCUUCUUGUGUAAACCCUUAAAAUAAAUGUUAAAAGACACAUCAGGUUGAAUAUUGAUCAGUUAUAGUAGUCUUAAAUGUUUUCCUACUUAUCUUUCUCUAAUAUUGGGCAUAUGAUAAAAAACAUUUUACCUGGCCUUUUGUAGACUUCUGACGAUUAGUUUUUGAAAUACUUUCCAUUUUCUGUAAAAUCUUCAAUAAAGAAGUUAUAA
This is a non-coding RNA of Callithrix jacchus (white-tufted-ear marmoset), 1095 nucleotides long. NCBI's taxonomy places the organism in Eukaryota, Metazoa, Chordata, Mammalia, Primates, Cebidae. The record is from RefSeq and is a predicted model, not a curated record.